This is a long non-coding RNA of Mustela erminea (ermine), 250 nucleotides long. RefSeq lists it as uncharacterized. The transcript is spliced from 3 exons. NCBI's taxonomy places the organism in Eukaryota, Metazoa, Chordata, Mammalia, Carnivora, Mustelidae. The record is from RefSeq and is a predicted model, not a curated record.
AACCGCCGCCGCCGCCGCCGCCGCCGCCGGGCCGCGCCGGGCUCGGCUCCUCCGAACCGUCUGGCGGACUUGGCACCGGCCCCGGCUCCUCAGUGCCCCCGCGAUGAGUAAACUGAGGCUCAGAAAUACUAAGUUACUUGCCUAAGAGACACAGCUAAAGAUUGAGAGAAGUGACCAUUCGACCCAGGGCUCCAGAAAUCAUCCCUGAACUUCAAAUUCAAGUCUUUGCAACCAGAACCACGGAAGUCCG